GCGUGGUGGAUGGCUCGGUUCUCGCGUCGAUGAAGGACGUAGCGAAACACGAAAGGUGUUGCGAAUUGCAAGAUUUCGCGAGUCAAUGAUUAUCCGAAUGCAUCGUCAUCCCUUCGUAACUUAGUUGCAAGGGAUGCGUCGGCGACAUCGGCA
Molecule: ribosomal RNA, 153 nt
Filed under: Caulerpa verticillata
Lineage: Eukaryota; Viridiplantae; Chlorophyta; Ulvophyceae; Bryopsidales; Caulerpaceae
Description: 5.8S ribosomal RNA
Rfam family: 5.8S ribosomal RNA
About the family: 5.8S ribosomal RNA (5.8S rRNA) is a component of the large subunit of the eukaryotic ribosome. It is transcribed by RNA polymerase I as part of the 45S precursor that also contains 18S and 28S rRNA. Functionally, it is thought that 5.8S rRNA may be involved in ribosome translocation.
Source: RNAcentral